Molecule: non-coding RNA, 3974 nt
Organism: Prunus avium (sweet cherry)
Lineage: Eukaryota; Viridiplantae; Streptophyta; Magnoliopsida; Rosales; Rosaceae
Source: RefSeq, a predicted model, not a curated record
CCAGGCCUAUAGUCAUCCACUAACUCGUGAAUUUACAACCAUUUGAACAUUUUUUCAGUGGAGCGGGGAACUAAUUUCCCAAAAAUCAUUCUCGUCUAGUUCUAUCAGGCCAUUCCAAAAAUAUCCCAAAAACUUGUGUUUAUUUUUCUUCUCCUACCGGGCAUCUCUCUUUCUCUCUCUCUCUUGCUCGUUCCAAAUUUCUCAGUCCUUUGUGAACUCCACAGAAGAGAAAGAAGGCAAAAUAAACCAUGAUAUUUGAUCUCAUCUGCCUCUUUGUAUUUAAUAAAUGAAUGAAUUCAUAGCUAGAACCACUAGUUGAUACUAAAUCAGGCAGCAGUUGCAGUGAAGAGCGAAAUCAAAUGAAAUGAAGUGAAAGGGAGCAAAAAGCCCUAUACAGACACAGAGGCAGAGCGAGAAAUGAUGGAGAAUGGUUAUGAUGGGAAAUUUGCGGAGAAAUUCUCAGGGUUGGCGAUUUCGAACGCAGCUGAUACUAUUCGUUCCUCAAACGCCAACCACAACCACCAAAACGACAGCAGCUUGUUUCAGGUCAUGAAAGCCGUGGAAGCUGCGGAAGCCACCAUCAAGCAACAAGUCGAAGAGAAUCUCCGACUGAGGACUGAACUUCAGCACAAGAUUCUUGAGCUCGACAGAUAUAAACUAGAUGAAUCAAUGGCCCAAAGGUCGCCUUCAGUUGAUCCUUGGUCCGAGGGUCUCCAAACAUCUUUUCAAGCGCAUCAACCAGUUCCCCAUGUGGAUGGUCAAGACAAUAAAAUUAAGAGUGUAGGAAACACUUCUGUAGUUCUCCACCAAGAGAGUCAAAACCCAACUACUGAUGCCCCAAUACAAAGUCAUGCUGAAACUCAAUCCAACAAUGGCACAAUCAAUGGAACCAUGAAGCUGCCUACAGAUAAUGCUGGCUCCUCUCACUUGUCUUCGCCAUCUACCACAUCAUUUUCUCCAGGAAGGUUUAACACGGUAGGAGAAUAUGAUCCACGGUUCAAUUUUUCUGGGCAAGGGCUGAUGCCAAUGGCUGAAUUAAAUACUCCUAGCAGCCUCUGGAAACAGGAUCUGAGUGUUAAGAUUCAUGAACAUGAAGAAGAGAUUAUGCAAUUACGGAAACAUCUUGCUAAUUAUUCAAUAAAGGAAGCACAAAUACGCAAUGAAAAAUAUGUUCUGGAGAAGCGUAUUGCUUAUAUGCGUCUGGCCUUUGAUCAGCAGCAACAAGAUCUUGUCGAUGCUGCAUCAAAAGCUCUAUCUUAUAGACAAGACAUUAUCGAGGAAAACAUACGCCUCACAUAUGCAUUACAGGAUGCACAGCAAGAGAGAUCAACAUUUGUUUCAUCUUUGCUGCCUCUUCUUGCAGAGUACUCUUUACAGCCACCAGUUCCUGAUGCCCAAUCAAUUGUUAGCAAUAUCAAGGUUCUAUUUAAACAUUUGCAAGAAAAGCUCCUUCUUACUGAGACAAAAUUAAAGGAGUCACAGUACCAAUUAGGACCUUGGCGCUCAGAUUCAAUUCACUCUAACAUUGCCCCACAGUCACCGUCUCACUCCAUUGGUGCAGCGUUGGCUACUUCAAACAAAAAUGGGCUAGAACUGGUUCCUCAGCCAAUAUAUUCCCAUGAAACAGUACCAGUUUCUACUUCUGAUGCUCAGACAACCACAGAGUGGGAUCUAUUGGGUCGCCAUCAGAGUGGUUUGGGUGGUGUUGUCACAAAUAACCUGAAAGCCAAUGGCCUGGGGAGGUAUUCACCUAUAGAAAGCAGGACUUCUGCAGCCCAAGAUCUACCUACUCAACUUGCUGUUACUCAGGGUGAUGCACAAGUAACUCGUUACAGUGAAGAAACCACCAAUAAACAGGUCACAUUUCGUGAUCCUGUCAGGAACUCAGAGAGUGAUUAUCAAGAUCCAGAAGGAAACCACAAUGAGAGAGAAACGUCGGCCAAUUGGAAUUCAGGAAACGCUCCUUACACAACAGCGCUUGAUGAUCCCAGCUCCUCGUAUGCCCAUUAUCUACCACCAGUGCUUGAAGAACCUUCUUCUUCAUUUUCAGAGGCUGCAGAUGAUGACCCAUUACCAGCUAUAGAUGGCCUACAAAUUUCAGGCGAAGCUUUUCCUGGACGGGAACUUCAAGCAUGUGGAUACUCUAUUAAUGGAACAACCAGUUGCAAUUUUGAGUGGGUACGCCAUCGGGAAGAUGGAUCUGUUAAUUACAUUGAUGGAGCAAAGCAACCAAACUAUCUUGUUACUGCUGAUGAUGUUGAGACAUACCUUGCUAUUGAAGUCCAACCUCUGGAUAACAGGAAGCGAAAGGGAGAGCUUGUGAAGGUUUUUGCCAAUGAGCACAAAAAGAUAACUUGCGAUCCUGAAAUGCAAAGUCACAUAGAGAAGAUUGUUGGUAGUGGUCAUGCUUCAUUUAAAAUUUAUCUGUCGACUGGAUAUCUUGAUAUAUGGGAACCGGCUACGUUGGCUAUUAAGAGGGAAGCUUAUAGUAUUAAGUGUAGUGAAACUAGUGGUGUUGUACUUACAGAAAAGUUUUCGCCAACAACACUUGUAACAAUUCCAUAUGGAAGUCCUACAGAACUCAUAAUAUCUAAUCCUGGUGGGGGUGAGCAUAUUUUAAAAGCAGAUGAUAGCUCGACCGAUAUUAGCUGUUCUAGAGAUACAAUUGUGCUCACGUUGAGACUAUUUAUCCUAAGGAUCACAUAGACCUUGGAGACUCGAAUCGAAGCAUUUAGUGAGGGAGACGAGCACAAUCAUAAUGCACUUAGCAGGCUGGUGAGAGAAGGAAAGGUAAAAAAAGGUUGUUUUUUUGAGUAGGGCAAUUAUCUCCUGCUGUUGGGAUCCACAAGAGCUUGUGUUCUUAAGGGUAAGGUUGUCAAUUACAUAUUUGGGUGUUGGUUGUGCUGUUGAACUUCCUGCUAUUCAAUAUUUGUUAGAGCAGCAAUGAAUUUUGUGUUGUAAUUUAUUGUAUGAAACGAUCAAUGUUGUUCUUUUUAGAUUUAUACUGCUUUUAUUUUUUCUUUCUGUUUAACUCCACCAUCUCUAUCUUAUACGCACUGUCCAAAAACGUAUAAUCGUUUAGGGGUUAGGAUCUGGGGACAGCUUUUUACAAAUAAUUUUACACUCCUUUUUAGUUUCUAGAUCCAUUUACAUCUAAAGGGUCCAAAGGAAAAGUUAAGAUUUCUUUUCACUUGUUUUACUUGUUAUUUUCUACACAACUAAUAGGAUGUCCAUGAAGAUGUGGCAAAAUCAUGUGACGUAAGUGGUUGCGUUGAGUCUUUAGAUGUCAGGUCAGGUUCAUACGGGUUGACACGACACGACACAACACAACAAUAACAUAAAUAUUGAGGGUGGAACUUUGGGAAAUAUGCUUAGGUUUUUUUUCUUUAUUAUGUACAGAGUUUGAUGCAGAAUGCAUAAUGCAUUUGAUUAGUUUUCCCAAUGCUAUUCGGAUUAGUUAUUAUUACUUUUCCUGUCAUAAAUUAAAGAAUAUCGUCCUAAGAUGUUUGAGAUGUUCCUUACAAAAGUGGUUGUAUAUAAGUAUGUCAUCAAAAUAAACCACCAGAAAUUUACCAAUGUAAGGUCGUAACCCUUGAGUCAUCACCCUCAUAAAUGUGCUAGGUGCAUUGGACAUUCCAAAAGGCGUAACAAGCCAUUCAUAUAAACCAUUAGGGGUUUUAAAUGCGGUUUUCCAUUUAUCUCCUUCACGAAUGCGGAUUUGAUGGUAGCCACUGAGAAGAUCUAUCUUAGAAAACCAUUGGGAACUAGCCAAAUUAUCCAACAUAUCCUUAAGUCACGGUAUGGGAAAAUGAUACUUAACUGUAAUUUUAUUUACGAUGCGACUAUCAACACAUAUUUGUCAGGAGCCAUCUUUUUGGGGGUAAGGAGAAUCUGAAUAGCACGAGGACUUGUACUAAGACAAAUAAAGUCCUUUAUCCAGAAGCCCUUGAAUUUGUCGAUUAAACUCUACUCAC